Molecule: ribosomal RNA, 1347 nt
Filed under: uncultured bacterium
Lineage: Bacteria
Description: partial 16S ribosomal RNA
Rfam family: Bacterial small subunit ribosomal RNA
Source: RNAcentral
GACGAACGCUGGCGGCGUGCUUAACACAUGCAAGUCGAACGGAAAGGCCCUGCUUUUGUGGGGUGCUCGAGUGGCGAACGGGUGAGUAACACGUGAGUAACCUGCCCUUGACUUUGGGAUAACUUCAGGAAACUGGGGCUAAUACCGGAUAGGAGCUCCUGCUGCAUGGUGGGGGUUGGAAAGUUUCGGCGGUUGGGGAUGGACUCGCGGCUUAUCAGCUUGUUGGUGGGGUAGUGGCUUACCAAGGCUUUGACGGGUAGCCGGCCUGAGAGGGUGACCGGCCACAUUGGGACUGAGAUACGGCCCAGACUCCUACGGGAGGCAGCAGUGGGGAAUAUUGCACAAUGGGCGGAAGCCUGAUGCAGCAACGCCGCGUGCGGGAUGACGGCCUUCGGGUUGUAAACCGCUUUCGCCUGUGACGAAGCGUGAGUGACGGUAAUGGGUAAAGAAGCACCGGCUAACUACGUGCCAGCAGCCGCGGUGAUACGUAGGGUGCGAGCGUUGUCCGGAUUUAUUGGGCGUAAAGGGCUCGUAGGUGGUUGAUCGCGUCGGAAGUGUAAUCUUGGGGCUUAACCCCUGAGCGUGCUUUCGAUACGGGUUGACUUGAGGAAGGUAGGGGAGAAUGGAAUUCCUGGUGGAGCGGUGGAAUGCGCAGAUAUCAGGAGGAACACCAGUGGCGAAGGCGGUUCUCUGGGCCUUUCCUGACGCUGAGGAGCGAAAGCGUGGGGAGCGAACAGGCUUAGAUACCCUGGUAGUCCACGCUGUAAACGGUGGGUACUAGGUGUGGGGUCCAUUCCACGGGUUCCGUGCCGUAGCUAACGCUUUAAGUACCCCGCCUGGGGAGUACGGCCGCAAGGCUAAAACUCAAAGGAAUUGACGGGGCCCCGCACAAGCGGCGGAGCAUGCGGAUUAAUUCGAUGCAACGCGUAGAACCUUACCUGGGUUUGACAUGGAUCGGGAGUGCUCAGAGAUGGGUGUGCCUCUUUUGGGGUCGGUUCACAGGUGGUGCAUGCCUGUCGUCAGCUCGUGUCGUGAGAUGUUGGGUUAAGUCCCGCAACGAGCGCAACCCUUGUUCACUGUUGCCAGCACGUUAUGGUGGGGACUCAGUGGAGACCGCCGAGGUCAACUCGGAGGAAGGUGGGGAUGACGUCAAGUCAUCAUGCCCCUUAUGUCCAGGGCUUCACGCAUGCUACAAUGGCUGGUACAGAGAGUGGCGAGCCUGUGAGGGUGAGCGAAUCUCGGAAAGCCGGUCUCAGUUCGGAUUGGGGUCUGCAACUCGACCUCAUGAAGUCGGAGUCGCUAGUAAUCGCAGAUCAGCAACGCUGCGGUGAAUACGUUCCCGGGGCU